This is a long non-coding RNA of Dermochelys coriacea (leatherback sea turtle), 179 nucleotides long. RefSeq lists it as uncharacterized. The transcript is spliced from 2 exons. The record is from RefSeq and is a predicted model, not a curated record. Lineage: Eukaryota; Metazoa; Chordata; Testudines; Dermochelyidae.
CCAGGAACCUAUCCUUGCAACAAAGCCUGUUGCCAACUCUGUCCACAUAGCUAUUCAGGGGACACCAUCAUAGGGCCUAAUCACAUCAGCCACACUAUCAGAGGCUCGUUCACCUGCACAUCUACCAAUGUGAUUUAUGCCAUCAUGUGCCAGCAAUGCCCCUCUGCCAUGUACAUUGG